Molecule: ribosomal RNA, 479 nt
Filed under: uncultured Saprospiraceae bacterium
Lineage: Bacteria; Pseudomonadati; Bacteroidota; Saprospiria; Saprospirales; Saprospiraceae
Description: bacterial SSU rRNA
Rfam family: Bacterial small subunit ribosomal RNA
Source: RNAcentral
GAUGAACGCUAGCGGGAGGCUUAAUACAUGCAAGUCGAACGGUAACAUAGGAGCUUGCUCCUGAUGACGAGUGGCGCACGGGUGAGUAACGCGUACACGACCUACCUUAAACUGGGGGACAUACACUGGAAACGGAGUAAAUACCCCAUGUGAUUGAUAUUUCUAAAAGGAUCAAUUAAAGUUUCGGCGGUUUAAGAUGGGUGUGCGUACUAUUAGGUAGUUGGUGAGGUAACGGCUCACCAAGCCGACGAUAGUUAGGGGGCGUGAGAGCGUGACCCCCCACACGGGUACUGAGACACGGACCCGACUCCUACGGGAGGCAGCAGUAAGGAAUAUUGGACAAUGGGCGAAAGCCUGAUCCAGCCAUCCCGCGUGCAGGAUGAAUGCCCUCUGGGUAGUAAACUGCUUUUAUAUACCAAGAAUAGCAGUCAUUAAUGAUUGUAUGACGGUAGUAUAUGAAUAAGCACCGGCUAACUCCG